GAUCAUGGCUCAGGACGAACGCUGGCGGCGUGCCUAAUACAUGCAAGUCGAGCGGACCGAUGGGAGCUUGCUCCCUUAGGUCAGCGGCGGACGGGUGAGUAACACGUGGGUAACCUGCCUGUAAGACUGGGAUAACUCCGGGAAACCGGGGCUAAUACCGGAUGCUUGAUUGAACCGCAUGGUUCAAUCAUAAAAGGUGGCUUUUAGCUACCACUUACAGAUGGACCCGCGGCGCAUUAGCUAGUUGGUGAGGUAACGGCUCACCAGGGCGACGAUGCGUAGCCGACCUGAGAGGGUGAUCGGCCACACUGGGACUGAGACACGGCCCAGACUCCUACGGGAGGCAGCAGUAGGGAAUCUUCCGCAAUGGACGAAAGUCUGACGGAGCAACGCCGCCGUGAGUGAUGAAGGUUUUCGGAUCGUAAAACUCUGUUGUUAGGGAAGAACAAGUACCGUUCGAAUAGGGCGGUACCUUGACGGUACCUAACCAGAAAGCCACGGCUAACUACGUGCCAGCAGCCGC
Molecule: ribosomal RNA, 523 nt
Filed under: uncultured bacterium
Lineage: Bacteria
Description: bacterial SSU rRNA
Rfam family: Bacterial small subunit ribosomal RNA
Source: RNAcentral